Molecule: long non-coding RNA, 1576 nt
Organism: Poecilia latipinna (sailfin molly)
Lineage: Eukaryota; Metazoa; Chordata; Actinopteri; Cyprinodontiformes; Poeciliidae
Exons: 2
Source: RefSeq, a predicted model, not a curated record
UCAAUGCUUUUUACCAAAUACUUUGUUACUCUUACUUGACUUACUGCCCAGCUCUACCAUGCAUUAAACACCUCCUCUGUUAUCUUUAGCUUAAAUAAGCUAAAACUGCACAUAAACUUUAAUAGGUUAAAUUUAACCAUUUUCAACUUUUUUCAGACUAAAUGAUGGAACCAAGAAGCAAAAAUCAUUUGCUGCAGCUUGAAAUCAUUUUUACACCAUUUUUGGCGCCCCUUCCAGCAGCGCCUCUAUGUAGUGCACGCCCAUUUUUUUCAACGCUAUCACUUCCGGUUCCAACAUCAUGGCUCCUGCAGCAGACGGAUCCGCUGGGCAGGAACCAUGCACCAUCAUUUCCUCUUUCCACGAAUCCACAGUUGGACUGGUACCUGACUGGAUCUUCAUUUCCUGAGGGACAGUAAAAAAAAAAAAACUCUUGACUUGGUUGCCAAAUACAUCUCAACUCAGACAAACGCUUCCAUCUUCAGCAAACCCUGUUUUAGGAUGAAACUAUCUGAGUGUUUCCUGCACAGAUUAUGCUUCAGAUUUGCUGCGCAGCAGAAAUGUGCUGCAGUUCUUCAUGCACUCAGCUCCACAAAGGCUCCAACAUCAUCUCCUGGAUUAAUCACUGAAUCCCGUUUUGUAGCUUCUGAGGUGAAGAAUGCGGACACAUUAUAGAUCAAAUCAUUUACACGUGCAGAAACUCAAUGCAGAAAAUGCUGACUAGAAAUAUUUUCACACUAUUUUUGGCGCCCCCUCUAACGCAGCGCCCCUUUGUCGCAUAUAGUGCGCACACACUUUUUGCUGCUACUUCCAAUACGUCUCUGUUUUCAUCUGGAUCUUUUUUUUUUCUUUCUGUUUAUCUUUGAAUGAUGUUUUGUAUUUAUUCCCAUCUUAUCAAUUUUUUACUUUGAUUUAUUCAUUUUUUAAGUUUUCUAUGGUUUUUGCUUGGAUCGUCUGCCCCACUGCUUCCAUUUCUUUCCUUUUACGAUCUGCAUAUUAUGUUUGGACCAGCAUUUUUCUCCACGCUCUUAAUUUGAACGAGUUUUAAAAUCCUUUUUGUUGUUUCAGCUGAUAAUUGUCUUGUUAAAAACUCCGCUGAGUUCUUCAGCAGAAUUGGAUUUGUGUAAGAAAUGACAACUACAGACUGAUUCCACAUUUUUACUCUAGUUUUGUCGUUUGUUUAUUGAUAAUUGUUUGGUAAACAUCUGCGUCAGAGCAUUGACGUUGUUCUCUAACGCGCCAAGAUUUCACUUAAAGCAGCUCUAAUUUUCUCUCUUUGUUCUUUUAUGAAGGCUAGCGGUUCUUCUUAAACUUUACAGACGAUUUUAUUGCAAAAACAGAUUAAAACAACAAUUUUAAACGCUUAAAAAGUUUUACAGUAUCUCUAAAUUUCUGUUUUUGAAACAAUAUGCUUUCGCCUUUACCACUUAUUUCACUUUCAGUCAAAUUUUAUAUUUGAUCUUUCUGCAAAUCAUGAAAGUUGCUGCUGCUGCGUAGAAGUGAAAUAACUUCUAUCACAGAUUUGAUUGAUUUUUCUGGUGUUUCUUUCUAUAAUCAGCAGUUCAAUGCGCCAAAAAAA